GAUGUUUCUGGUGACCACCUCUUUAUUUCUUCUGUGAUCACAGACCAUCCACUUAAUAAUAUGCUCUAACAUUCUUCCAACAGUGAGCAAUAGAUCACUUGUCUAUAGUUUUUAUAAUUCACAUUUUCCCCUUUGUAAAACUGAGGACAGUAUUUUCCUAUUAAUCCAUUUCUUCAUAUGAUAGUGUCAAGACGGCCCAAAAGUGUAUUCCUGCACAUUAAAUUCAGGGUCCAAGGAAUUGUCUGCAUUUUUAAAACAGAUUACUGAGCCAGACCGAGAAGCGGAGCCUUAGCCUCAAAGAAUUCUCCUGAACACCUUAAGGAUUUACCAUCAAGGCCCGGCUAGCUGUUAGAAGAUGGAGGAUAAAGGCUCUAUUCACCCUGCCAUCUAGGUGGCUUUAGGGUCUCCUGUGCCCCUGAGUCAGAAAAGGAAAAAUCACUUCUGAAUUAUGAUCUAUGGAACAUAGGUAAGAAAAUAUGCCUCCUUCUGACUGUAUUAAUGCAUAACAAAGCAAAAUGGAAAUACACUUUUAAAUUGUAUACAUUAAGUUUCCUGGAUUUAAUGUGGAUCAUUAAAAGACUUCCAAGUAGAUAUCCUCAGUAUUUUGUGAUUGAAGGGUAGGAACUACAGAAAAUUUCCAAAGGGCUUACUAAGUGCCAAGCAACUGUAACGUGAGUAGGCCGUUGUGUUACAUCCUAAGUGCACCGAGUAUACACUGGGCUCGAAAAAUAAAUUUAAAAAGUGAAUGUAAAAUAUCUUGUUGACAACUU
This 770-nucleotide long non-coding RNA is filed under the name Canis lupus familiaris (dog). RNAcentral describes it as "lncRNA (ENSCAFG00030017113.1)". Lineage: Eukaryota; Metazoa; Chordata; Mammalia; Carnivora; Canidae. The record is from RNAcentral.